RNAcentral lists this ribosomal RNA (254 nucleotides) under uncultured bacterium. RNAcentral's name for it is "partial 16S ribosomal RNA". It matches the Rfam family "Bacterial small subunit ribosomal RNA", at positions 524 to 776 of the family's 1533-position model. The record is from RNAcentral.
UACGUAGGGAGCGAGCGUUGUCCGGAUUUACUGGGCGUAAAGGGCGCGUAGGCGGCUUGUUAAGUGUGGUGUGAAAUCUCCAGGGCUCAACCCGGAAACUGCACCGCAUACUGGCUAGCUAGAGAGAGGUAGAGGUAAGUAGAAUUCCUGGUGUAACGGUGACAUGUGUAGAUAUCAGGAGGAAUACCGAUGGUGAAGACAGCUUACUGGGCCUUUUCUGACGCUGAGGCGCGAAAGCGUGGGUAGCAAACAGA